UACGAAGGGUGCAAGCGUUACUCGGAAUUACUGGGCGUAAAGCGUGCGUAGGUGGUUUGUUAAGUCUGUUGUGAAAGCCCCGGGCUCAACCUGGGAAUGGCAAUGGAUACUGGCAGGCUAGAGUGCGGUAGAGGGUAGUGGAAUUCCCGGUGUAGCGGUGAAAUGCGUAGAGAUCGGGGAGGAACACCAGUGGCGAAGGCGGCUACCUGGACCAGCACUGACACUGAGGCACGAAAGCGUGGGGAGCAAACAGG
RNAcentral lists this ribosomal RNA (254 nucleotides) under uncultured bacterium. RNAcentral describes it as "partial 16S ribosomal RNA". It matches the Rfam family "Bacterial small subunit ribosomal RNA", at positions 524 to 776 of the family's 1533-position model. The record is from RNAcentral.